This 425-nucleotide ribosomal RNA is filed under the name uncultured bacterium. Its description in RNAcentral is "partial 16S ribosomal RNA". It matches the Rfam family "Bacterial small subunit ribosomal RNA", at positions 354 to 796 of the family's 1533-position model. The record is from RNAcentral.
GUGGGGAAUAUUGGGCAAUGGGCGAAAGCCUGACCCAGCAACGCCGCGUGAAGGAAGAAGGUCUUCGGAUCGUAAACUUCUAUCCUUGGUGAAGAUAAUGACGGUAGCCAAGAAGGAAGCCCCGGCUAACUACGUGCCAGCAGCCGCGGUAAUACGUAGGGGGCAAGCGUUGUCCGGAAUGAUUGGGCGUAAAGGGCGCGUAGGCGGCCCGGUAAGUCUGAAGUGAAAGUCCUGCUUUUAAGGUGGGAAUUGCUUUGGAUACUGUCGGGCUUGAGUGCAGGAGAGGUAAGCGGAAUUCCCGGUGUAGCGGUGAAAUGCGUAGAGAUCGGGAGGAACACCAGUGGCGAAGGCGGCUUACUGGACUGUAACUGACGCUGAGGCGCGAAAGUGUGGGGAGCAAACAGGAUUAGAAACCCGAGUAGUCC